GACGAACGCUGGCGGCGUGCUUAACACAUGCAAGUCGAACGGUAAGGCCCUUCGGGGUACACGAGUGGCGAACGGGUGAGUAACACGUGGGUGAUCUGCCCUGCACUUCGGGAUAAGCCUGGGAAACUGGGUCUAAUACCGGAUAGGACCACUGCCUGCAUGGGUGGUGGUGGAAAGCUUUUGCGGUGGGGGAUGGGCCCGCGGCCUAUCAGCUUGUUGGUGGGGUGAUGGCCUACCAAGGCGACGACGGGUAGCCGGCCUGAGAGGGUGACCGGCCACACUGGGACUGAGAUACGGCACAGACUCCUACGGGAGGCAGCAGUGGGGAAUAUUGCUCAAUGGGCGCAAGCCUGAUGCAGCGACGCCGCGUGAGGGAUGACGGCCUUCGGGUUGUAAACCUCUUUCAGCACCGACGAAGCGCAAGUGACGGUAGGUGCAGAAGAAGGACCGGCCAACUACGUGCCAGCCGCCGCCGUAA
This 478-nucleotide ribosomal RNA is filed under the name uncultured bacterium. RNAcentral describes it as "partial 16S ribosomal RNA". It matches the Rfam family "Bacterial small subunit ribosomal RNA", at positions 28 to 523 of the family's 1533-position model. The record is from RNAcentral.